This 1146-nucleotide long non-coding RNA is filed under the name Zonotrichia albicollis (white-throated sparrow). RNAcentral describes it as "lncRNA (ENSZALG00000016411.1)". Lineage: Eukaryota; Metazoa; Chordata; Aves; Passeriformes; Passerellidae. The record is from RNAcentral.
AUGGCUGAUAAGAACUACAGCAUCCCAUUGGGAGAUGCUCCACCUAGAAGGAGGAGCCAAACAUUCCUACCCAGAUAUAAUCUGGAGAUUCUGGAACACCAGCACAGCUUCUCCACUGGAUUUCCCAGAAGAACAGCAGCUGCAUCUUCUUCCACAGGAUUUUCAGAGGAAGACUACAGCCUUUUCUACAGGAUCUCUGCUCCAGCAGAACCCCACCUGACACCCAAGGAGGACUGCAGCCACAUUUCCAAUUGGACUGCUGCCAACACCCUGACCAACAGAGUGUCAGUCCCGACACAGCUUGUCACUGAUUGGCCAAUGAAUGAAAACAACUCACCAGAAUCCAAUGAAACGAUCACCUCUGGGUACACGAUCUCCAAACACAUUCCACAUGUGAACACAACACAGGAGAAGCAAAUGAGAUAAGAAUUGUUUCCCUUUCCUCUGAGGCUUCUCAGCUUCCCAGGAGAAAAAUCCUGGGCGAAGGGAUUUUUCCAGAGAAUGUGAAUGCAUGGCCUAGCAGUGCUGCUGAAAAAAAAGGACCUGGGGGCUCUGCCGGUGUGAAAAAUGUGUAUUUAAGGUUGGCUUUUCGCAAAUAUUCAAAUGAAUAUUACAUUAGAAAUUAGUGUUAUGUUAGAAAGUUAUGCUGUAUUAAUUUUCUUAAGUAAUGUGUUAAAUAUAGUUUUAGGUUAUAGCAUAAUGUUAAAAUAGAAAUUAUGCUAUGUAAGAUAUUUUUUUAAAGAAAGGACUCGCACUGAGAUAGCAGCCACAGGACACCUAAAUCUUUCAGAGAAAGAGAAUUUAUUGCCCCCUUAUCAGAAGAAACAAAUUUCUUCCCACGUCACUCAGCCCUGAAGACACUGUCAGGAUUAAGAGGAAGAAGCUGACACUGACCAGACAGAAUCCUGUGUUUGAAUGGAAAAUCCUGUCUUUGAAUGGAAUUUAUGCAUCAUGUAUGAGGUGCAUGAAUAUGCAACAGACUGUUGUUUUUAAGGGUCAAUCCUCUGUGAACAUGUGUCCUUUUUCGGGCUUAUAUUGCCCAGAAAAAGGUACCUGGAUAUCCGUAACCCUUUGUUUCUAUUGUCUCAUAUUGUCCUAAUCCAAAUUGUCCAAAUUAUUAUUACUCUGAUUAUAUUACUAUUUUUA